RNAcentral lists this ribosomal RNA (916 nucleotides) under archaeon enrichment culture clone EAr-c1. RNAcentral's name for it is "bacterial SSU rRNA". It matches the Rfam family "Archaeal small subunit ribosomal RNA", at positions 1 to 922 of the family's 1478-position model. The record is from RNAcentral.
UUCCGGUUGAUCCUGCCAGAGGCUACUGCUAUCGGGGUCCGACUAAGCCAUGCGAGUUGAGAGGGGUAAGCCCUCGGCAUAUUGCUCAGUAACACGCGGAUAACCUGCCCUUGGAUUUGGGAUAACCCCGGGAAACUGGGACUAAUACCGGAUAGAUCAAAGAAACUGGAAUGUUCUCUGAUCGAAAGCUCCGGCGCCCAAGGAUGGGUCUGCGGCCUAUCAGGUAGUAGUGGGUGUAACGUACCUACUAGCCUACGACGGGUAAGGGUUGUGAGAGCAAGAGCCCUGAGAUGGAUUCUGAGACAUGAAUCCAGGCCCUACGGGGUGCAGCAGGCGCGAAAACUUUACACUGCGGGAAACCGCGAUAAGGGGACCCCGAGUGCCAGCACCUAGUGCUGGCUGUCCAGCUGUUCAAAUAACAGUUGUUAGCAAGGGCCGGGCAAGACCGGUGCCAGCCGCCGCGGUAACACCGGCGGCCCGAGUGGUAGCCGUUAUUAUUGGGUUUAAAGGGUCCGUAGCCGGCCUAUUAAGUCUCUUGGGAAAUCUGGCGACUCAAUCGUCAGGCGUUCAAGAGAUACUGGUAGGCUUGGGACCGGGAGAGGUGGGAGGUACUCCAGGGGUAGGGGUGAAAUCUCGUAAUCCUUGGGGGACCACCGAUGGCGAAGGCAUCCCACCAGAACGGGUCCGACGGUGAGGGACGAAAGCUGGGGGCACGAACCGGAUUAGAUACCCGGGUAGUCCCAGCCGUAAACGAUGCUCGCUAGGUGUCAGGUGCGGUGCGACCGCAUCUGGUGCCGCAGUGAAAACUUGAAGCGAGUCACCUGGGAAGUACGGUCGCAAGGCUGAAACUUAAAGGAAUUGGCGGGGGAGCACUACAACGGGUGGAGCCUGCGGUUCAAUUGGAGUCAACGCCGGG